Molecule: long non-coding RNA, 4354 nt
Filed under: Canis lupus familiaris (dog)
Lineage: Eukaryota; Metazoa; Chordata; Mammalia; Carnivora; Canidae
Description: lncRNA (ENSCAFG00000058677.1)
Source: RNAcentral
UUUUUUUUUUCCUUGCUUCUGAAAUAAAGCCUGCAUGAGAGCCAAAAUUUAGUAGAAUAUUUGCUCUGCCAUAGUGCCAUAGUGCUGUUUGUUGAAAAACAUUUGCUUAUCAGGCAUUUAUUUUCCAUGCUUAGAUUAAUAUAUUGCUGAAUAGCCACAGACACUUAAUUUUUAUGUCUGCAUUUUAGAAUUGUUGUGGCUUAUAAAUUUACCUUUAUAAAUAUAAAUAAUUUCCUAAUAUCGAAAUGAUUAUAAUUAAAACCAAGGUUAAAAAUAAUAUUGAUGUAUUUAUUAGUCAAGUACUAAUAAUGAAGAGAACACUCGUCUUAAUAUUUCCUUUCCCUUCUAGAUUCUGACUGUGGUUUUGAAAACCAUUACCUUGGAAACAGUUGCUGUGAAACACUACCCUUUGAAUCUAAGAAGGGGCCACUCAUGUGCCCCCACCAAUGGCUUCCUUGAGGUGACGUUAUCUGUGUAGACCAGCACCAUCUAAUAGAAAUUUUGCUAAUGAUCAAAUGUUCUCUCUUCGUACUGUCCAAUCUGGUGGACAUUAGACCAUUGUGCACUUGACAUGUGGCUAGUGAGACUAAGGAAAUGAAUUUUAAACUUUAAUUUUAAUGAGUUUAAGUUUAAAUGAUCAUAAGUGAAUAGUGCCCAUCAUAUUGAACAGUGUCAUCCCCCCAUUCUCACAUGCUUCCAACAGCAAUUUCCAUCCAAGGGGCCUGGAACUUUUUUCACCAACAACAAUUAGUAGUCAAUCAUUUUUCUUCACUAUCUCAAUGUCCUUAGCACCUGGAAUCAUGCAUUCUGAUAGGUGGCUUUUCAACAAGUGCUUGUGUUGGAAUCAGACAGUUCUUUUCAAUAUUUUAAGAAAAAAGCUGCCUCCCACACUUGAAAAAGAUCUUUGACUGACGUAUGUCUGGGGCAGCACAUUUCCCUGGGGCCCCCUUUUGCAUCCGGACUACUCUUUGUUUCUUUCUUUACAACAUUCACCAGUAGUAACAGCUGUAUUUGUUGAAGAGCUGCUAUGUUAUGAGAAAGGAGAACAGUCCCUGUAUGUAAAUUUCCUAAUUUCCAUAACAACCCUAUAAAUUAGAUAUCGUAUCUCCAAUCUGGGGGGAGAAAAUCAGAGAUUUAAGUAACUUAGCCAAACUCUAGCAACUGGUAAUUGGCAAAAUCAGGGCUUUCAUGUACUGUAUAUUCUCAUUCUCUCAUCCUACGUGAGCUGGAGAUUCUUAGUUUCGCCACUGACUAGCUGCCUGGCCUUGGGACGUCAUUUAUUCUCCCUGACCUUCAGUUUCCAAACCUGGAAAAUGAGGAAUUAACAACGGAUGCCUCCAGGGCAGAUGGGGAGUUAGCCUGAGGCUUUAUGAGAGCCCUCCAGGUGCACAGGGGUGCAGGGCUUGCCUCCAGGGCUGUCUUCAAUUCCUUCCCUAUUCCUACUGGCCUGUGAACUUAUUUUUUCCUUGCUUUUUUUUUUUUAUUGUUAUUAUUGGUAAAAAUGCUCAGCUGAACAGAAUCUCAUCCAGCAGAUAUUUAGUGAGUCUCUGCUGUGAUCAGGAACCAUGCUGACUGUUGAACACAAUCAUCAGCUGAAUUCAAAUUCUAGAAACCUGAGUAUAUCCUUUUCUAGCUAACAUCUGUUGAGAGUUCACUACAGUUCAGCCCUUCUAAAUGCUUUACAUAUAUAACUCACACAAUCCUCAUAGUAACACUUUGUUAGCAGUGACUGUUAGGAUUCCCCACCACACAGUUGAGGAAACUGAGGCACAGAGAGGCUGAGCUACUUGCCAGAUGUGACACAACUUAUAAAUGAUGGAGCUGGAACUCUGAUCCAGUCAAGCUGGCUGCAAAGCCCCCACUCCUAACCGUAAGGCUCUAAGGCCCCCCCAUCCUUGUGUUUGCAGGUUAAUAGGAGGAAGUCAUCCUGGAACCAGGGCAGAAAGGAGCACUUUCAAGAGGUCCUCAAACAACUCCUUGAGUGUGGGACCCAGGAAAUUUAACAAAAAUCCCCUACCCCUGGACAAGCAGAGUAGGACUAACUCCAUUUUGGGCUACACCCGCCACCUCCCCUAUGACCCCCACACGACCUGCUUAUUGCUUAAGGCGCUGCCCCCCCUAGUCAGGCCGCUGGGCACACCCUCAUCGGAAAUCGGCUCAUAACAAUGUAACCCUGCUCUGUGCCCGCCAAAACUGCGCGCGGAUUCUGACCAAAGUAAUAGGCCAGGUCAAGUGGAUCCUAUAGGGUAAGGUGUAAUUCUAUCGGCCACCUGCGUGUGGACCGACAUGACUGUGCAACUUUCUGCGUAUCCCAUGGGCCACUGGCCCCUAUAAAGCUGCUACGCCUCUUAGUCUCGGGGUCCAAGUCCCUGCUCCGCUGUGUCGGGUGCACUUGGACCCAAGCCCAAGCUUGUAAAUAAACCCUCGUGUGACUGCAUCGGUGUCGGCUCCUCGGUGGUUUCUCGGAUUCGCAAUCUUGGGCACAACAUUGAGCACUGCCUGCAAACAAAACAUGCUGUAGGCUGGAUGGGGAUACAAAGAUGUGUAAGAGUUAUUCUCCACCCCCGGAAACUAGAUUGUAAGUCUAACAAAGAGCAUGAUUAAAAAGAACAUGCUUACUUGUAAAGCAAGAAAGGUGUGGUAAGUGCUAAAUUGCUGACAGUCCUAUGAACUUCACAGAGAAAUCAGUUCUUAUUCAGAAACAUUUGUGAUGGAGAGCGUGUCACCUGUGCCUUAAAAGAAGGAUGCGAUUUCAGUAGAUGGAGAAGAGGCAAAGAAGAGAACUUUCCCAGUAGACCAAAAGACAGGAGUCAUGGGAUGCAGGUGAGACACAGGGAGGCUUUUCUCUGACAGUCAGCAGGGGCUCCUCUUGCUGGGACCUGCAGCAUCUGUGGGAAUAAGUGACUUAGACAAAGGGGGGGGGUUGUAAAGAGGCAAAGGCCAUGGGCAGAACUGUGAGGACUGGCCACCCUCAUGGGGCAAGAGGAGCAGAGGGGCCACCCCCCUGGCAGGUAGAGGAGAGGAGGAGCAGGAGGUCCGGUGUCUCAGAAGUUGUGGGAGGAAGAGAGCGGAAAUAGCCAGGGAUCAAGAGUGCAAACAACAUAGAGACACCAAGAAAAGAUAAAAGCAGAAAAUAAGUUUUUGGCUUCAGUAUCUAGGAGAUGAUGGGUUGUUCUUCAAGGGGGCUGUUCCAAGGAAACAGCAAAAUGGGCCUGGACUGGUGAGUACUCAGUGAAGGUGGGAGGGCCAGGGGCUAGCCAUGGAGAGGGAGCUGCUAGCAUCAUCCCCAUGGAAACAGAGGCAGUGGCCCACCCUUUAAGCAGGAGGUGCAGAGAGGAAGGGUGGUAGUUGAAAAUAUGCAAAAAGGCAUCAAAGUAAUGGCUCAAGGAGACUCAAACAGGACACCCCACUAAAGAUAGCCAUGGCAAAAAGCGAACUAGCCUGGUGUGCAGCAAGCCUUUGAGGGCAGGCAGGCUUGAAAAUCUUAGUAAAGUUUGAGCAAAGGGUGUAACUGGUUCUGUCCCCUCUCUUGUCUCAAGAAUCCAGGCAAUUGCUCACUUUCUGAGAUUUUUCAGGGGCGACCUGUGGGAUGAUGGCAAAUGCCCAAGGGCUCCGCCCCAAUGUGAAGGCCCCACUCCUAGGGCCAAGGGCACCUGAGGCAACCGGGAUCCAGCUCCAGCCUCCUUGGGCAGGCUGUGCAUGUGAGUCAAGACCCCAGCUCAGCACAGGAAGCCAGUGGGGUAUCAGACCGGCACCUGGAGACAACCUGUCUCUCCAAAUCUGCUGGUCUUUUCUUCCUCUUCGGGGAGGUGCAGAGGCGUCCAUUCCAGUGUGCUUUAGACAUCAGUCUCUGCGCUGGGUUCCCUACCUAGCUUUCAGGAGGCCCUGCCAUCCCCAGCUCUCAGGCUCUACCCUGGGGUGUAGGGGAGUGUAGGGAAGGACCGCUGUCCCUCCUCCCUUUCGCUCUCUGCUUUCUGAGUGUCCACACCCCACACCUUGGGUCACUAUCCGCCAGUACAAUGAGGUGGGGUGGGGGGGUGUGCCCGUGCUGUCUUUCGCUUGUGUAGACGCCACACUGGUCUGCCCUCUCACAAGUCUGGGCUCUGCUGGACCAAAGAGGCGGACGCCCAGCUAAGAAUGGGUAGAAGCCUCGAGGGGCUUUCCGGGAACCCAGUUUCCAGCCCCCUGCGAGGUCCCGACCGACAUUCCCCACACCCAUCACUCUUUUCCGCCCAAAUUUAGAGGUCUCCGACUUUUAGGUCUUUGUGUAGAGUUCAACAGCGCCGCCCUCUGGCGCCAGGUUGUGAGUGAGCACAGAGCAGAGGCACAGGGCUUAAAAAAAAAAAAAAAAAAA